This 697-nucleotide ribosomal RNA is filed under the name uncultured cyanobacterium. RNAcentral describes it as "bacterial SSU rRNA". It matches the Rfam family "Bacterial small subunit ribosomal RNA", at positions 66 to 804 of the family's 1533-position model. Lineage: Bacteria; Bacillati; Cyanobacteriota. The record is from RNAcentral.
ACGAAGUCUUCGGACUGAGUGGCGGACGGGUGAGUAACGCGUGAGAAUCUGCCUAGAGGUCGGGGACAACCAUUGGAAACGAUGGCUAAUACCGGAUAUGCCUUACGGGGUGAAAGAUUAAUUGCCUUUAGAAGAGCUCGCGUCUGAUUAGCUAGUUGGUGAGGUAAGAGCUCACCAAGGCAGCGAUCAGUAGCUGGUCUGAGAGGAUGACCAGCCACACUGGGACUGAGACACGGCCCAGACUCCUACGGGAGGCAGCAGUGGGGAAUUUUCCGCAAUGGGCGAAAGCCUGACGGAGCAAGACCGCGUGAGGGAGGAAGGCUCUUGGGUUGUAAACCUCUUUUGUCAGGGAAGAACAAAAUGACGGUACCUGACGAAUCAGCAUCGGCUAACUCCGUGCCAGCAGCCGCGGUAAUACGGAGGAUGCAAGCGUUAUCCGGAAUUAUUGGGCGUAAAGCGUCCGCAGGUGGCUGAUCAAGUCUGCGGUCAAAGACCGGGGCUUAACCCUGGAAAGGCCGUGGAAACUGAUAGAGCUAGAGUACCGUAGGGGUAGAGGGAAUUCCCGGUGUAGCGGUGAGAUGCGUAGAGAUCGGGAAGAACAUCGGUGGCGAAAGCGCUCUACUGGACGGUGACUGACACUCAGGGACGAAAGCUAGGGGAGCGAAUGGGAUUAGAUACCCCAGUAGUCCUAGCCGUA